AUCUAGCUGGGAAAUGUGGUAGUUUUAAGACAUGUCUGCAAAUUCUUUCAUCUUUUUCUCAUCAAGAUGUGGGUUCUCUAUUCCUCACCUUGAACCUGGGCCCACCUUAAUGAUUGGUUGGUCACCAGCAUAAAGAGGAAGUGAUAUUCUGUGACUUCCAGGCUGGGCCAUAGAAGCCAGGCAGUUUCCUCUUGGUUCCCUGGAUCACUUGCACUGGAGCUGCCACGUAAGAAGUCUGACCAUCCCGAGGCCUCUAUGCUGUGAGGAAGCCCAAAUUAGUCCACAUGGAGAUGCCCUGAGUCUACAAGAAAAGAGAGGACAGACAGAGAUGCUCCUCUAGACACCAUUUCGCUGAAACCACAUGAGGGUUCACCAAGCCAAGACCGCUGAGCUGAGCCUUUCCCAGGUUCCUGACCACAGAAACCAUAAGAGAUAAUAACGUGAUUGAUGGUGGCCAGACACAGUGACUCACACCUGAAAUCCCAGCACUUUGGGAGGCUGAGAUCUAUGCCCCUUGAUAUGACUUUGCAGUUCCUUCUACUAAGAAGAUGAAUCCAUUUCUCCACCCGCUGAGUCUGGGCUGGUCUUGUGAUGUGCGUUAGUCAAUAGAAGUGGCUGAAGUGAUGGCGCGCCAGUUUUUAGCCUACACUUCAAGAAGCCUAUGGACUUCCACUUGCUGUCUUGAAACCCUGUUUGAAAAAGGUUCCCUGAGGACAAGGCCAGACUAGCCUGCUGGAGGGUAAUCUCCUCCCCUGGAGUGUGGACCAGAGUUAGUGACUCACCUCUAACGAAUGAAAUAGCUCAGUCUGAUGGAAGCAGCUGCCCUGUUGUGAGCUCCCCCUAGGGAGAGGCCCACAUGGGAAGAAAUCAAAGUAUGCCUCAAACCAACAGCCAGAGGGAAACUGAGGCUUCAGUCCAACAAGCCAGAAGGAACUGAAUCCCACCAACAACCACUUCAUUGAGCCAGUAAGUGGCUCCUCUCCCAGUCUUGAGAUGGCUCCAACAUCAGCUGACACCUUAAUUACAGCCUCGUGAGGGACCCUGAGCCAGAGAAUCAGCUAAGCCAUGUCCAGAUCCCUAGUCCUUCGAAACUAUAAAACAAUGAGAAAGCUAAAGCUUGGUGAGAUUACGGAAGCCUACAGUUACACAGCUGACUCCCUCCAGAGGCCCCAUCCACACCCACUGUUGGACUCCUGCUACUCUCGGAGGCUUGGAGUUGGUUUCUCCUCCCCCAAAUCGGUCUCAACACUUACCCUUACUUCCUGCUCUUCGUGGUCUCAGCCUCACUGUUCUUCGUGGACUCAUUUUUUCUCUUCCCUUUGUUUUAUUUUUGUCUCUUUCUUUCUUUUUUGGCUUCAGUGGAGUCCUAGCCUUAAGGUUUUCCUUCUCUAACCCCUUGUUCCCCUUCCAUUCUCUUUCCAGCCCUCUGUAAGCUGCAGCACAGUGUUUACAGUUAAGCCAGCCUCCAUUGAGGCCUUCAGUUGCCGAAGUUCAAAAAAAUCAACCUAGAAUAACAACGUAUUGUUAUAUAAAUGGCAUCUCAGAAAUAAACUAGUCAAAUACGCUUAUCCCCACAGUUCACAUGGGGGAAAAGCUUGCUACCUGAUGUUCUAAUACAUAAUAGUUGUUUUCUCAUUUAUCAACUUUCAUCCCCAGUAUCUGUAAGCUCCAAGAAGGCAAAGACUUUCACU
This 1691-nucleotide long non-coding RNA is filed under the name Homo sapiens (human). Its description in RNAcentral is "HSALNT0405923". Lineage: Eukaryota; Metazoa; Chordata; Mammalia; Primates; Hominidae. The record is from RNAcentral.